RNAcentral lists this ribosomal RNA (467 nucleotides) under uncultured bacterium. RNAcentral's name for it is "partial 16S ribosomal RNA". It matches the Rfam family "Bacterial small subunit ribosomal RNA", at positions 28 to 506 of the family's 1533-position model. The record is from RNAcentral.
GACGAACGCUGGCGGCGUGCUUAACACAUGCAAGUCGAACGGAAAGGCCCUGCUUUUGUGGGGUGCUCGAGUGGCGAACGGGUGAGUAACACGUGAGUAACCUGCCCUUGACUUUGGGAUAACUUCAGGAAACUGGGGCUAAUACCGGAUAGGAGCUCCUGCUGCAUGGUGGGGGUUGGAAAGUUUCGGCGGUUGGGGAUGGACUCGCGGCUUAUCAGCUUGUUGGUGGGGUAGUGGCUUACCAAGGCUUUGACGGGUAGCCGGCCUGAGAGGGUGACCGGCCAAAUUGGGACUGAGAUACGGCCCAGACUCCUACGGGAGGCAGGAGUGGGGAAUAUUGCACAAUGGGCGGAAGCCUGAUGCAGCAACGCCGCGUGCGGGAUGACGGCCUUCGGGUUGUAAACCGCUUUCGCCUGUGACGAAGCGUGAGUGACGGUAAUGGGUAAAGAAGCACCGGCUAACUACGU